Molecule: long non-coding RNA, 1255 nt
Filed under: Homo sapiens (human)
Lineage: Eukaryota; Metazoa; Chordata; Mammalia; Primates; Hominidae
Description: HSALNT0370255
Source: RNAcentral
AGCGAGACCCAGUGAGGCUUCCGCUAGGAAUGUGUGGACGGAGUCUGGCUGGCUUUCCUUUAGAAUUCAAGCCUGAGAUGUGUGGGGAAUGGAGCAAAUGUAACUGUCCUUCUACCAUUUGAAACCUGAGAUUGGAGUCAAAACUAAGGAAUUGCAGCAGAAAGGAAGAAAUUGGGUCCUCUGGUGACUAUUGAGUCAUGAAUCAAAAUAUGCCUAAAGUGAGAACCCACAACCUUUCCACUCACGUGAGCCAGGAAAUUCUGUUUGGGAUGAGUUUUCUAGUAUUUGCAGCAGAAGAAUCCCUACCUGAUGCAGAAAUGACCCACAUUUUCCAGCUGAGGCAAAUAGAGGCCUCAGGAGAUUAGCUAACUUGCCCAAGUUCACACAAAUAACUAAGACAAAAUUUGAAGCCACUUUGUUUCACCUUGAAAAGCUGGUGAGGAAGACAAACUGGAUUUUUAACUGACUGCAAUAUGACAAACAUAUGUGAAAAAAGAAAGACACAAUAGGAAAAUGGAGUGAAAGAAGGGCAGAGAGUGAAGGACAGUGUAAUUGAGGUACAAGUUUCAAUGACAUCUGAAGAUUAUGAAAAUCUGGGGUUUUCCUGGUGCCCCAUCUCUCCCAGUGACUCAGUAAGAUAGGAAAUGAAGGCUAACUCUGAUUACCUAGUUGACUAUUUUAAACUCCAGCCAUUUAUAGAGCACUAAUUAGAAAUCAUUUCAAGCAAAACAUCUGUUCAUUGAUUUGCUGAAACAUCAAUAUUGGCUGUCUAUGAGAAUAAUUUGCAUUUCAUUGCUAAGGAAAAAACAUUAGUACCUGGAAACCAAAGAAAGCAAAUCUAGACCCACGAAGAUCCUCAGUUUUUUUCAGAAGGCAAACCACCAUGAAUUAUUCUAAUUAUUUGACCUUUUCACUCCAGAAUAAUCCAAAGCGAGCACCUGCAAAGGGAGUGGGGUGAAGUAUCGAGUUCAUAGAAGCCCUCAACAGUUUUUGCAGAAGAAACCUGAGUCCCAGAGGGGUUAGGUAACUUGUUCAAGAUCACACAGCUAACAAGUAGCAGAAACAGGAUUUGAACCUAAGCCAUCUCUCUCCAGAAUCUAUCCUGCCAACCACUAUAGCAGACUUCCCAGAGGGAAGGUAACUGCCCAUUUUUGAGCAGCUGUAUCAUGACAGGCAUCUUACAUACAAUACCUCAUUUAAUCCAUCUGUCAGCCAAAGCCUUGUGAGAGCAAAGGAAGCCAGUCACAAGAGACAG